GGGGAAUUUUCCGCAAUGGGCGAAAGCCUGACGGAGCAAUACCGCGUGAGGGAGGAAGGCUCUUGGGUCGUAAACCUCUUUUCUCAGGGAAGAACACAAUGACGGUACCUGAGGAAUAAGCAUCGGCUAACUCCGUGCCAGCAGCCGCGGUAAUACGGAGGAUGCAAGCGUUAUCCGGAAUGAUUGGGCGUAAAGCGUCCGCAGGUGGCGAUGUAAGUCUGCUGUUAAAGAGUGAGGCUCAACCUCAUAAGAGCAGUGGAAACUACAUAGCUAGAGUACGUUCGGGGCAGAGGGAAUUCCUGGUGUAGCGGUGAAAUGCGUAGAGAUCAGGAAGAACACCAGUGGCGAAGGCGCUCUGCUAGGCCGUAACUGACACUGAGGGACGAAAGCUAGGGGAGCGAAUGGGAUUAGAUACCCCAGUAGUCCUAGCCGUAAACGAUGGAUACUAGGCGUGGCUUGUAUCGACCCGAGCCGUGCCGUAGCUAACGCGUUAAGUAUCCCGCCUGGGGAGUACGCCGGCAACGGUGAAACUCAAAGGAAUUGACGGGGGCCCGCACAAGCGGUGGAGUAUGUGGUUUAAUUCGAUGCAACGCGAAGAACCUUACCAAGGCUUGACAUGUCGCGAAUCUUGAUGAAAGUUGAGAGUGCCUUCGGGAGCGCGAACACAGGUGGUGCAUGGCUGUCGUCAGCUCGUGUCGUGAGAUGUUGGGUUAAGUCCCGCAACGAGCGCAACCCUCGUUUUUAGUUGCCAGCAUUAAGUUGGGCACUCUAGAGAGACUGCCGGUGACAAACCGGAGGAAGGUGGGGAUGACGUCAAGUCAGCAUGCCCCUUACGCCUUGGCCUACACACGUACUACAAUGCUCCGGACAGAGGGCAGCAAGCAUGCGAAUGCAAGCAAAUCCCGUAAACCGGAGCUCAGUUCAGAUCGCAGGCUGCAACUCGCCUGCGUGAAGGAGGAAUCGCUAGUAAUUGCAGGUCAGCAUACUGCAGUGAAUUCGUUCCCGGGCCUUGUACACACCGCCCGUCACACCAUGGAAGCUGGUAGUGCCCGAAGUCAUUACUCCAACCCUUAGGGGGGGAGGAUGCCUAAGGCAGGACUGGUGACUGAGGU
Molecule: ribosomal RNA, 1112 nt
Filed under: Nostoc cf. indistinguendum FI5-VF4
Lineage: Bacteria; Bacillati; Cyanobacteriota; Cyanophyceae; Nostocales; Nostocaceae
Description: bacterial SSU rRNA
Rfam family: Bacterial small subunit ribosomal RNA
Source: RNAcentral